Long non-coding RNA from Camelus dromedarius (Arabian camel), 2245 nucleotides. RefSeq lists it as uncharacterized. The record is from RefSeq and is a predicted model, not a curated record. The transcript is spliced from 5 exons. NCBI's taxonomy places the organism in Eukaryota, Metazoa, Chordata, Mammalia, Artiodactyla, Camelidae.
UCCUGACCUGACCUCACCUGGUCAGCCCCACAUGCUCUCUAGGGCCUCUGAGGUUUCCCAUUUAUUUUCAGCAGGUACAACAUAAACCAACAGAAGACACAAAUAAGAAAUCUUCUCAUUGUGGAAAAGCUGGGCUACAUGGAUGAGCAGGAAGAAGGUUGCAAACUCGGAUGGAGAGUGUGACCCUUCUGAGAAGCCUGCCCCUGAUUCCUGUUCUCCCAGGACUCCUCUUCUGUUGCAGACAAGUGCCUUACAGCUCAGCUGUGACAGCAACCUGGAUCUGGGCGAGAAACCAAGCAGCAUUCAGAGAGUUGAACAACUCAGACGAGAAGGAUGGACAGUCUGCAGCGCCAAAACCCACUUCCCAGUGCUGGUCUCCUUGGGCUCAGCCGACCAGGCGCACCUGGUUGCUGUUUCCUGUGGAUUCAUUGUCAGGCUCUGCGGGACAGAUGAGGAAACGGAGGCUCCCAGGAGCAAGAACGACUUACGCAGGUCACCACCCCAGAGCUACACCCUCAGCCCAUGCACCGUCUGCUCCCAUCUUACUGAACCUCCACCAAGUUCCAGAGGAACAGGGCCACCCCCACUUCACAGAUCAAGCCACUGAGGCUCACAGAGGGAGACGGAACAGCUUGGUCCCACGCCUUUUCAUCCUUCCAGACAACAAAGCCACAGAGGCCAGGCCAGCGGCCCCUCCUCUGCUCUACCUGGGCUGGUUUGCUGUCUUCUGUUCUGAGACUCUGAGCCCAGCCCCUGCCCAGUGGUGCUGGCCCUAGGCCACCUGCCCAGGUGUCCCAAAGACCCAGCUGCUCCUCCCUGGCGCAGAGCAGGAGGUGGCGGGGCAGGCAGAUGGCUGAGACCUGGGGCUUCUGGAGACUCCACAGUCAUUGAGUCCAGGGCAGUUCCCCUCUAAGCAGCACCAGUCUGUCGGACCACUCGGGGCUUGCCUGGUGCUGGAGUCCUGCACGCGCAGGCCUUUUCUGCCAAGAUGGUUUUGUGUUCGGCAUCCAUGCAUGGGCUCACUGGUCUGUUCAUUCAUCAUCUUACUGGAGCCUUGGGCUGUGCUCUGAGCCCAAAGAAACGCCAAGGGGCAGGAGACUGGUAAUAAGGAACCUUUCAAGCCACCUUCCCAGCAAGUUCUGAAACACUGGGACAGGCCCAGGUCAGUGCGGGUGCAGAGGACUGUCAACCACCCCGCAGCGUUCAGCAGCCUGGAAGAGCUGACUCUGAGACGAGCCUGCCCUGCGUUUAAGCAUGCUUCCUCCUGGACCCCCACUGCUCAGAGAUUCUCCAGUGGCUGCAGAUGGGCUGUUCCCAGGACAAGAAAGGGGAUGUGGGCUGUGGAUUCCAGAGAGGACCCGGGGCGUCUGGGAUGCGCUCCCCUGUGGUUCUCCGGGUAGGAGCCGAGUUCGACAGAGUUGACUGUGGGUAUGUGUAUGUUUGGUGGUUAUGUGACUAAAGUUUGGCCAAUCAGAGCAUCACAUCCUCCUGGCCCCCUGAUAGGUUCAGGGAUGAACAUAUUUCCAAGUGGGUCCACUGAGACCCAGUCUGCACUCCAGUGGGAUGGUUCAGACGAGAGAGGAUCUGUGUACGAGAUGUGGAGCUAUGGAUACGUAAUUGCCCCAAGGUUGCCAGGGGAGAGAGCUUGUCUGAGAGUGAAGUACAGCUUCCAUGUCUGAAGGUCACUGUUAGAGGACCUGGAUCCAGCCAUGCCCGAAGCUGGAAAUAACCUAGACUUGACUAAGAGCCAACUUCUUCUAUACCCAAGUCAGUCUGAGUCAGGCUUUCUGGCACUCAUCUAAGAGACCUGGCUGAAUAGGAAGAAAGACAACAGGAGAUAAAGGCAGAGAGUGGCUGGGUAUAGUUUGGGAGAAGUGACAGGGAAACAGUCUAGUUGGAUGGCGGUAUUAAAUGGCGUUUUAUGAAUCACGUUGUAAAUUUUCCACUUGAAACUCUUUGCAUCAUGGCAGCAUAAGCCACGUCUUCCCCUCUGGCUCCUCAGUCAGGUCUACUGCAGAUACACAGAAGUGAUGAAUCAGAUAUAGCCAUUUGAAAGAACUCAGAGCCAAGGGCAAACACUGGAAGGGGAGAUGCCCGGCCUGUGUGAGGGGCAGGCGGUGGAGCUGAAAUGCCCACGAGGGGUCAGGACCGAGGUUCUGACGUCACAAGUAGGGACAGGGUCACAAGACCCCGUGUGGUGAGUUAGAAGGAGGCCCCCUGCACGAAGCCGGGGCCGGCCAGGGAG